AACAAGUUUGAAACAAGCUGUUAACAACUUAUAACAAACUUGAUGGCAUUAUCAGCCUUGUUACAAGACUGUGCUAACAAGUUUGUUACAGCCAUGAUAUAACAAAGAUGUUACAAAGUUGUCAACACAAGGUUGUAACAAUCGUGUUAUAUCAAGCAUGUCACAGACUUGUCAGAACAACCUUGCAACAAGUCUGAUAAUUUCGACAAAGUUGUUACAAGUUGUCAACAAGUUGUUCCAAACCUGUU
This 248-nucleotide microRNA precursor is filed under the name Paramuricea clavata. Lineage: Eukaryota; Metazoa; Cnidaria; Anthozoa; Malacalcyonacea; Plexauridae. The record is from RNAcentral.